CAGUCGCCACGGUAAUACGAAGGGUGCAAGCGUUACUCGGAAUUACUGGGCGUAAAGCGCACGUAGGCGGCUUGGUAAGUUAGAGGUGAAAGCCUGGAGCUCAACUCCAGAAUUGCCUUUAAGACUGCCGAGCUAGCAGGUGAGAGAGGUAAGUGGAAUUCCGAGUGUAGAGGUGAAAUUCGUAGAUAUUCGGAAGAACACCAGUGGCGAAGGCGGCUUACUGGCUCAUACUGGACGCUGAGGUGCGAAAGCGUGGGGAGCAAACAGGAUUAGAUACCCGUGUAGUCCCUGUCUCUUAUAC
Molecule: ribosomal RNA, 301 nt
Filed under: uncultured bacterium
Lineage: Bacteria
Description: partial 16S ribosomal RNA
Rfam family: Bacterial small subunit ribosomal RNA
Source: RNAcentral